CAUGCAAGUCGAGCGAAGCUUUUUAGUAGUUUACUACUAGAAAUGACUGAGCGGCGAACGGGUGAGUAACGCGUGAGCAAUCUACCUUAGUUACUGGGAUAGCCCGAGGAAACUCGGAUUAAUACCAGAUAUUCUUAUUUUUUCACAUGAAGUUUUAAGGAAAGGUCAGCCGAACUAAGAUGAGCUCGCGUUCUAUCAGCUAGUUGGUGGGGUAAAAGCCUACCAAGGCUACGACGGAUAGCUGGUCUGAGAGGACGAUCAGCCACACUGGGACUGAGACACGGCCCAGACUCCUACGGGAGGCUGCAGCAGGGAAUAUUGUGCAAUGAGCGAAAGCUUGACACAGCGACACCGCGUGUGGGAUGACGGUUCUAGGAUUGUAAACCACUUUCAGGAGGGAAGAAAAUGACGGUACCUCCACAAGAAGACCCGGCCAACUAUGUGCCAGCAGCCGCGGUAAUACAUAGGGGUCAAGCGUUGUCCGGAUUUAUUGGGCGUAAAGAGCUCGUAGGCGGUUCAACAAGUCGGUCGUAAAAGUUUAGGGCUCAACCCUAAAAUGUCGAUCGAUACUGUUGUGACUAGGAUACGGUAGAGGUGAAUGGAAUUCCGAGUGUAGCGGUGAAAUGCGUAGAUAUUCGGAGGAACACCAAUUGCGAAGGCAGUUCACUGGACCGUGAUCGACG
Molecule: ribosomal RNA, 683 nt
Filed under: uncultured bacterium
Lineage: Bacteria
Description: bacterial SSU rRNA
Rfam family: Bacterial small subunit ribosomal RNA
Source: RNAcentral